This 356-nucleotide ribosomal RNA is filed under the name uncultured bacterium. Its description in RNAcentral is "bacterial SSU rRNA". It matches the Rfam family "Bacterial small subunit ribosomal RNA", at positions 917 to 1271 of the family's 1533-position model. The record is from RNAcentral.
GGACCCGCACAAGCGGUGGAACAUGUGGUUUAAUUCGAUACUACGCGAAAAACCUUACCAAGUCUUGACAUAGUAGUUGUAUGAUUAAGAAACUAGUCAGUCAGCUAGGCUGGACUAUCACAGGUGUUGCAUGGCUGUCGUCAGCUCGUGUCGUGAGAUGUUGGGUUAAGUCCCGCAACGAGCGAAACCCUCAUCUUUAGUUGCCAACAGGUAAUGCUGGGAACUCUAAAGAAACUGCCAACGAUGAGUUGGAGGAAGGUGAGGACGACGUCAAGUCAGCAUGACCCUUAUGACUUGGGCUACACACGUGUUACAAUGGUAAUUACAAAAUGAAGCGAUAGGUAGACCUGAGCAAA